AUUGAACGCUGGCGGCAUGCUUUACACAUGCAAGUCGAACGGUAACAGGUUCAGCUGACGAGUGGCGAACGGGUGAGUAAUGCAUCGGAACGUGCCCGGUCGUGGGGGAUAACGCAGCGAAAGCUGCGCUAAUACCGCAUACGAUCUGAGGAUGAAAGCGGGGGACCGUAAGGCCUCGCGCGAUCGGAGCGGCCGAUGUCAGAUUAGGUAGUUGGUGGGGUAAAGGCUCACCAAGCCAACGAUCUGUAGCUGGUCUGAGAGGACGACCAGCCACACUGGGACUGAGACACGGCUCAGACUCCUACGGGAGGCAGCAGUGGGGAAUUUUGGACAAUGGGCGAAAGCCUGAUCCAGCAAUGCCGCGUGCAGGAAGAAGGCCUUCGGGUUGUAAACUGCUUUUGUACGGAGCGAAAAGGUCUCCUCUAAUACAGGGGGCUCAUGACGGUACCGUAAGAAUAAGCACCGGCUAACUACGUGCCAGCAGCCGCCGUAA
This 493-nucleotide ribosomal RNA is filed under the name uncultured bacterium. RNAcentral describes it as "partial 16S ribosomal RNA". It matches the Rfam family "Bacterial small subunit ribosomal RNA", at positions 30 to 523 of the family's 1533-position model. The record is from RNAcentral.